GACGAACGCUGGCGGCGUGCCUAACACAUGCAAGUCGAACGCUACACUCCGGUGUAGAGUGGCGAACGGGUGGGUCAUACAUAAAGAACCUCGCAUGUACAGGGGAAUUACCGGUGGGAACGUCUGAUAAGACAGCAUAUCUGUAGAGAUAGGAUGUACUGCAUAUGAAAGGGGCUACGGGACUGUCGGAUGUUGGACUUGUAGUGGAUUAGCUUGUUGGUGGGGUAACGGUCUACGAAGGCGACGAUGCGUAGCCGACCUCAGAGAGUGACCGGCCACACGGGAACUGAGACACGGCCCAGACUCCUACGGGAGGCAGCAGUCGGGAAUCUUCCGCAAUGGGGGAAAGCCUGACAGAGCAACGCCGCGUGAAGGAAGAAGGAAUUCGGUAGGGAAAGUGCUGUAAUAGGGGGAGAACUGAGGUUAUAGGAAACGAGAUGCAAGUGACGGUACUGGAUAAGAAAGCCACGGCUAACUACGUG
This 482-nucleotide ribosomal RNA is filed under the name uncultured bacterium. Its description in RNAcentral is "partial 16S ribosomal RNA". It matches the Rfam family "Bacterial small subunit ribosomal RNA", at positions 28 to 507 of the family's 1533-position model. The record is from RNAcentral.